GGCUCGAUUAUGGCUCAGAUUGAACGCUGGCGGGAUGCUUUACACAUGCAAGUGUCGAAACGGCAAAGACGGACUGGUCUGGUGGCGAGUGGCGGACGGGUGAGUAAUGUAUCGGAACGUGCCGGUAAGUGGGGGAUAACUACGUGAAAGCGUAGCUAAUACCGCAUGUCACGCCUUUCGGGGAAAGCGGGGACCGGGCCUCGCACUAUUAGAGCGGCCGAUAUCGGAUUAGGCUAGUUGGUGGGGUAACGGCUCACCAAGGCGACGAUCCGUAGCUGGUUUGAGAGGACGACCAGCCACACUGGGACUGAGACACGGCCCAGACUUUACGGGAGGCAGCAGUGGGGACGGACACAGCCCCGAUCCAGCCAUCCCGCGUGUGCGAUGAAGGCCUUCGGGUUGUAAAGCACUUUUGGCAGGAAAGAAAACGGCACGGGAUACCCCGCAACUGACGGUACCUGCAGAACAAGCACCGGCUAACCACGUGCCAGCAGCCGCGGUAAUACGUAGGGUGCAAGCGUUAAUCGGAAUUACUGGGCGUAAAGCGUGCGCAGGCGGUUCGGAAAGAAAGAUGUGAAAUCCCAGAGCUUAACUUUGGAACUGCAUUUUUAACUACCGAGCUAUGAGUGCGUCGAGGUGAGGUGGAAUUCCGCGUAGCAGUGAAAUGCGUAGAUAUGCGGAGGAACACCGAUGGCGAAGGCAGCCUCCUGGGAUAACACUGACGCUCAUGCACGAAAGCGUAGGAGCAAACAGGAUUAGAUACCCUGGUGUCCACGCCCCAAACGAUGUCAACUUAGCUGUUGGGGCCUUCUUCGCCUGGUAGCGCAGCUAACGCGUGAAGUUGACCGCCUGGGAGUACGGUCGCAAGAUUAAAACUCAAAGAACGAUGGGACCCGCAUAAGCGGUGGAUGAUGUGGAUUAAUUCGAUGCAACGCGAAAAAACCUUACCUACCCUUGACAUGUCUGAAUCCCGAAGAGAUUUGGGAGUACCGCAAGAGAACGGAACAGACAGGUGCUGUGAAGGGCUGUCGUCAGCUCGUGUCGCAGAUGUUGGGUUAAGUCCCGCAACGAAGCGCAACCCUUGUCAUUAGCUGCCGAAAGGGCACUCUGACGACUGCCGGUGACAAACCGGAGGAAGGUGGGAUGACGCUGGAGCUCAUGGCCCUUAUGGGUCAGCACGUCAUGCUAAAUGGUCGGGACAGAGGGCCGCCAACCCGCGAGGGGAGCCAAUCCCAGAAACCCGAUCGUAGUCCGGAUCGCAGUCUGCAACUCGACUGCGUGAAGUCGGAAUCGCUAGUAACGCGGAUCAGUAAUGCGGUGAAUACGUUCCCGGCCUUAGGACACCUGCCUGUCACACCAUGGGAGUGGGUUUGCCCAGAAGUAGUUAGCCUAACCGUAAGGAGGGCGAUUACCACGGUAGUAUUCAUGACUGGGUGAAGUCGCACGCUACAG
RNAcentral lists this ribosomal RNA (1452 nucleotides) under uncultured Bordetella sp. RNAcentral describes it as "partial 16S-23S ribosomal RNA intergenic spacer". It matches the Rfam family "Bacterial small subunit ribosomal RNA". The record is from RNAcentral. Lineage: Bacteria; Pseudomonadati; Pseudomonadota; Betaproteobacteria; Burkholderiales; Alcaligenaceae.